Molecule: long non-coding RNA, 1477 nt
Organism: Planococcus citri (citrus mealybug)
Lineage: Eukaryota; Metazoa; Arthropoda; Insecta; Hemiptera; Pseudococcidae
Exons: 2
Source: RefSeq, a predicted model, not a curated record
AUUAAUAGAAAAUCCACUUCCCCAGUAGAGAAGAUUGAUUAAUUUUUUGACUUUUCAAAGGAUGUACGACGUGAUAGACGCGAUCCGUUUCGUCACAGAAAAACAGAGUAGCCUCGCUGCGAUUGGCUCUUUUUGGUAGGUAUUGAAAUAGGUGCUAUUUUUUUUUUUUUUUUUUAAUAAUCUCAUGGUUCAUAUCAUUUGAUUUUGAAUUUGUCAGUAUUUUUGAAAAGAUCUAAAAUUCAGAUAUUUUUCAACUUAAAUUUUCAACAACGACGAUUCAAAUUUAAUUAAUUGAAAAAAUAAAUGGUGCUACAACGUAUUUUUUUUUAGUAAAAAAUGAGAAAAAAAUGAAAAAUUGAUUAGCUGAGUGUGUUUUAGUGCUUGAUGCCCUUGACUAGCAGAGAAAAAUCUGGCCAAUGGCCAUCCAGUGUUAUGCUUUAUCAAUUUUCACUAUUUCUACAUUAUGAUGUGAUGGAGUUUCAAUUUUCUAUAUUUUCAGCAAUUUUUAAUUCGGAUUCUUGAUAAUUAAUGAAUCUGUUUCAAGCAAUUGGUUGCUAUUAUUAUAACCUGUGUAGUGUGUACUUUAUGGGAUGUUAUUUCUCAUUCAUUGUUGGUGAUGAUUGUGAUGAAUAUUGAAUAAUAAUAAUACUGUUGAUUUCGAUCAUAGACAAUUUUUACUUUUUGAGUGCUUUGCUUUUCAAUUUGAAUAAAUUGAAAAAAAACUGAUACCUGUGUAUAUUGUACUGUACAAGUGUACAUAAAUAAUACAGUUGAUUGAUAGCAGACUGAUUCUCAUAUUUUUAAAUUUUCAACAAUUGUGUACUCAAUGGGAUGUAAUUUGUGUUUUAUUGUGCCGUGAUAAACUGCUUCUUGAGUGACUUUCCUUUUUGAAUUUAUUUUCAAAAGAAAAAAAAAGUGAUACUUGAACUUUUAAGCACUUAUUUACACUUCCUAAUGUGAAUAUUAAAUAAAGUUGGUUGGUUCCAGUUGUUCAUUUCAUUUACCUGUAACCUGUGUAUAUUGUACUGCUGUGCAUAAUAAAUAAUACAGCAGUUGAUUGAUAGCAGACUGAUUAUCAUUUUGAACUUUUUCAACAAUCUUUGAAUUUCUUAGAUUCAAGCACUCAGCACUGAUUAUUAUCAACAGCAGGCUACAGAUUUUGUAUUGAUCUGUCAGGUCUAUUCUACAGAAGGUCGUGUGGGUCGUGUGAAUACAUAAUAUUUGCACGUAAAAAUUUUUUCGAGUGGCCGUGUUUUUAAACACGUAAAUUAUUUUCUUGAAUAAAUGGUCGUGUAGAUUUUUUUGCACGUAAAACUCUACUGGUCGUGCAUUGCACGUUAAAACAUUUUUCAUAUCUUUUGAAUUAAAUUCAGCGUACAUUGGUCGUGUAUUAUCAUACACGUAAAAUAGAAUUUGAUUUAUUUAUUACAGUUUUGGUAAUACGUUUAGUCAUUUGAAUAAAUAAAUUUGAAGUGAA